AUACGGAAGGUCCGGGCGUUAUCCGGAUUUAUUGGGUUUAAAGGGAGCGCAGGCGGAGAUGCAAGCGUGACGUCAAAUUUCGGGGCUCAACCCCGUCUCGCGUCGCGAACUGCGUCCCUUGGUUGCGGGAAGGGGAGGCGGAACUCGUGGUGUAGCGGUGAAAUGCAUAGAUAUCACGAAGAACUCCGAUCGCGAAGGCAGCCUUCCGGCCCGUCAAUGACGCUCAUGCUCGAAGGUGCGGGUAUCAAACAGGAUUAGAUACCCUGGUAGUCCGCACAGUAAACGAUGGACACCCGCGGUUUGGCCUGUAUGGCUGAGCCGCCAAGCGAAAGCGUUAAGUGUCCCACCUGGGGAGUACGCCGGCAACGGUGAAACUCAAAGGAAUUGACGGGG
RNAcentral lists this ribosomal RNA (393 nucleotides) under uncultured bacterium. RNAcentral describes it as "partial 16S ribosomal RNA". It matches the Rfam family "Bacterial small subunit ribosomal RNA", at positions 523 to 918 of the family's 1533-position model. The record is from RNAcentral.